GUCAUUGUAGCUCAGCUGGAUAGAGCAUUCGCCUUCUAAGCGAACGGUCGCAGGUUCGAAUCCUGCCAGUGACG
RNAcentral lists this transfer RNA (74 nucleotides) under Globicatella sanguinis. RNAcentral describes it as "tRNA-Arg". It matches the Rfam family "tRNA". From Rfam's summary of the family: Transfer RNA (tRNA) molecules are approximately 80 nucleotides in length. Their secondary structure includes four short double-helical elements and three loops (D, anti-codon, and T loops). Further hydrogen bonds mediate the characteristic L-shaped molecular structure. tRNAs have two regions of fundamental functional importance: the anti-codon, which is responsible for specific mRNA codon recognition, and the 3' end, to which the tRNAs corresponding amino acid is attached (by aminoacyl-tRNA synthetases). tRNAs cope with the degeneracy of the genetic code in two manners: having more than one tRNA (with a specific anti-codon) for a particular amino acid; and 'wobble' base-pairing, i.e. permitting non-standard base-pairing at the 3rd anti-codon position. Lineage: Bacteria; Bacillati; Bacillota; Bacilli; Lactobacillales; Aerococcaceae. The record is from RNAcentral. RNAcentral also lists the same sequence under 4 other names.